RNAcentral lists this long non-coding RNA (406 nucleotides) under Homo sapiens (human). RNAcentral describes it as "non-protein coding lnc-BAMBI-3:1". The record is from RNAcentral. Lineage: Eukaryota; Metazoa; Chordata; Mammalia; Primates; Hominidae.
UUAACAUGGUUAGACCAGCCAUCUCUUUUAAAAAAUAUUUUACAUGGCUAUUUUUUUUUCUAUUUUUAAGAUAUUUGUUAGUAUUAUUGUAGAGACAGAAUCUCUCCCUAUAUUUCCCUAGGCUGGUCUGGAAUUCCUGAUUAUUUUUAAAAAUCGAGAUGAAAUUCACAUAACAAUUGUCAUCUCCCCCCCAAAAUUACUGUAUACCCAUUAGCAGUCACUUUCAUUUUUUCUUCUCAAAGCCCAACUCCCCAAUUACUGAUCUACUUUCUGUCUCUCUAGAUUUUUGUUUUCUGGAUAUGUCAUAUAAACUGAUUACACAGUAUGUGGUCUUUUGUGACUGGCUUCUUUCACUUAGUGUUUGCAAAGCUCACCCAUAUUGUUUUACAUAUCAGUACUUAGGCUU